This 259-nucleotide long non-coding RNA is filed under the name Elaeis guineensis (African oil palm). RNAcentral describes it as "long non-coding RNA (EGUI_LNC082482)". The record is from RNAcentral. Lineage: Eukaryota; Viridiplantae; Streptophyta; Magnoliopsida; Arecales; Arecaceae.
UUCUCUCUCCUCUCUCUACCUUCUCUCUAUAUUUUCUCUCUCUAAAUUCUCUCUCUAGACCUUUUUUCUCUCUUUAUGAAUUUUUCUCUCUAGGAUCUUUCUCUUUCUCUCUCUAACUGCAUCACAGAUCCUAGAAUAAACUUGAGAUGAAAAUAAGAUAAUCUGAGAUUGCUCCAAAACUCGUGUAGUAGAUCUUAUCUCAGUCCGAUCCUAUUUGAAAUUUAUAAUAUUUGAUUCAUAUUAAGUCAUCCUGAUAGAA